Molecule: transfer RNA, 93 nt
Filed under: Coriobacteriia bacterium
Lineage: Bacteria; Bacillati; Actinomycetota; Coriobacteriia
Description: tRNA-Ser
Rfam family: tRNA
About the family: Transfer RNA (tRNA) molecules are approximately 80 nucleotides in length.
Source: RNAcentral
GGAGGGUUGGCCGAGCGGUUGAAGGCGGCAGUCUCGAAAACUGUUAUACCCACAACCUGGGUAUCGAGGGUUCGAAUCCCUCACCCUCCGCCA